Molecule: ribosomal RNA, 253 nt
Filed under: uncultured bacterium
Lineage: Bacteria
Description: partial 16S ribosomal RNA
Rfam family: Bacterial small subunit ribosomal RNA
Source: RNAcentral
UACGUAGGUGGCAAGCGUUGUCCGGAUUUACUGGGUGUAAAGGGCGUGCAGCCGGAGAGACAAGUCAGAUGUGAAAUCCACGGGCUCAACUCGUGAACUGCAUUUGAAACUGUUUCCCUUGAGCGUCGGAGAGGUAAUCGGAAUUCCUUGUGUAGCGGUGAAAUGCGUAGAUAUAAGGAAGAACACCAGUGGCGAAGGCGGAUUACUGGACGAUAACUGACGGUGAGGCGCGAAAGCGUGGGGAGCAAACAGG